RNAcentral lists this unclassified non-coding RNA (240 nucleotides) under soil metagenome. Its description in RNAcentral is "partial contains 5.8S ribosomal RNA, internal transcribed spacer 2, and large subunit ribosomal RNA". The record is from RNAcentral.
AACCAUUCUCACCUGCGGCUAGACCUGCGGAAGGAUCAUUACAGAGAACUUGCCCGUCUGGGUAGAUCUCCCACCCUUUGUUUACUAUACCUUUGUUGCUUUGGCAAGCCUGUCUUGUGACUACUGGCCUCCAGCUAGUAAGUGCUUGCCAGAGGACCCCAAACACUUUACAUUGUGUUGUCUGAGUAGUACAGAAAUUUUUAAAACUUUCAGCAACGGAUCUCAGAUCGGAAGAGCACA